AAAUAUGAGGGCAAUCUGGCUGUGACAUCUGUCGCUUCAUUGAUCACCAGGGUUGAUUCGGCUGAUCUGGCCAGCUUGGUGGGUGUUCCUUCCCCCCCCCGACUCUUCCAUAUGGGUCCCUCCCACAGCUGCACACUCAGUGGAAGAGAACAACCUUCCCUGAUGGAGGAGGACCAUUCUUUAGUCAAGAGUAUAGAGUAGCUGUAUUCCCCUCCUAGAACCUCCAGACAAGCUAUCAAGGUCCAUUUUUAGGAGAACAUAGGGUAGUCAAGCUUCCAUGAUUCCAGACACAUCCAAAUGAGGUGCUUCAUAUGGCAGUCUACUUAAA
This 328-nucleotide small nuclear RNA is filed under the name Propithecus coquereli (Coquerel's sifaka). RNAcentral's name for it is "7SK RNA (ENSPCOG00000004242.1)". It matches the Rfam family "7SK RNA". From Rfam's summary of the family: 7SK was discovered as an abundant small nuclear RNA in the mid-70s but a possible function has only recently been suggested. The record is from RNAcentral. Lineage: Eukaryota; Metazoa; Chordata; Mammalia; Primates; Indriidae.